This is a ribosomal RNA of Poecilia latipinna (sailfin molly), 145 nucleotides long. It matches the Rfam family "5.8S ribosomal RNA". From Rfam's summary of the family: 5.8S ribosomal RNA (5.8S rRNA) is a component of the large subunit of the eukaryotic ribosome. It is transcribed by RNA polymerase I as part of the 45S precursor that also contains 18S and 28S rRNA. NCBI's taxonomy places the organism in Eukaryota, Metazoa, Chordata, Actinopteri, Cyprinodontiformes, Poeciliidae. The record is from Ensembl.
AGCUCUUAGCGGUGGAUCACUCGGCUCGUGCGUCGAUGAAGAACGCAGCUAGCUGCGAGAACUAAUGUGAUUUGCAGGACACAUUACAGCAAUUUUGACAUUGCUGUAAUGUCAAAAUUGUACUAAUACUUUUGCAGUAGUGCAU